CCUACGGGAGGCAGCAGUGAGGAAUAUUGGUCAAUGGACGAGAGUCUGAACCAGCCAAGUAGCGUGAAGGAUGACUGCCCUAUGGGUUGUAAACUUCUUUUAUAUGGGAAUAAAAUGAUGCACGUGUGCCUUUUUGUAUGUACUUUAUGAAUAAGGAUCGGCUAACUCCGUGCCAGCAGCCGCGGUAAUACGGAGGAUCCGAGCGUUAUCCGGAUUUAUUGGGUUUAAAGGGAGCGUAGGUGGGUUGUUAAGUCAGUUGUGAAAGUUUGCGGCUCAACCGUAAAAUUGCAGUUGAUACUGGCAGUCUUGAGUACAGUUGAGGUAGGCGGAAUUCGUGGUGUAGCGGUGAAAUGCUUAGAUAUCACGAAGAACUCCGAUUGCGAAGGCAGCUUACUGGACUGCGACUGACAUUGAGGCUCGAAAGUGUGGGUAUCAAACAGGAUUAGAUACCCUUGUAGUC
This 460-nucleotide ribosomal RNA is filed under the name uncultured bacterium. Its description in RNAcentral is "partial 16S ribosomal RNA". It matches the Rfam family "Bacterial small subunit ribosomal RNA", at positions 338 to 795 of the family's 1533-position model. The record is from RNAcentral.